GGGGGCGUACUGGUUUCGACCAGGUGAACACGCUGGAGGCGGCAUGCCGAGGACGAUACGUUGGCCUCGUAAAUCAUCGUAUCAAAACUAAAAAGCUAACGAAGAAUUAGCCCUCGCGGCCUAAGUGCCACGACGUUCGCCGGUGGAAACCUGCUACAUUGGAUGAACGCUAUUGCAGGCAUGGUUGAUGGCGGAGACCGCGCGCCGUUGACCGAGACUUUUCAUGCGGACUAGGCAGUGCGAAUCGCGCCCGGACGUCAUCGCAUAGCAGAAAACCUACUUCGGGCUAAGCAUGUAGUCGCGGCCGGUUGGUUGGCCUGGGACGCGGGUUCAACUCCCGCCGCCUCCACCA
RNAcentral lists this transfer-messenger RNA (352 nucleotides) under Verrucomicrobiia bacterium. It matches the Rfam family "transfer-messenger RNA". Rfam says of the family: Bacterial tmRNA, also known as 10Sa RNA or SsrA, is named for its dual tRNA and mRNA-like properties. Its role is to liberate the mRNA from a stalled ribosome. To accomplish this part of the tmRNA is used as a reading frame that ends in a translation stop signal. The record is from RNAcentral. Lineage: Bacteria; Pseudomonadati; Verrucomicrobiota; Verrucomicrobiia.